CCUACGGGAGGCAGCAGUGGGGAAUAUUGCACAAUGGGCGCAAGCCUGAUGCAGCGACGCCGCGUGCGGGAUGGAGGUCUUCGGGUUGUAAACCGCUUUUGUUCAAGGGCCAGGCUCGGUCUUUAGCCGCUGUGCGUGGAUUGUUCGAAUAAGCACCGGCUAGAUAUGUGCCAGCAGCCGCGGUAAUACGGAGGGUGCAAGCGUUAUCCGGCUUUAUUGGGCGUAAAGGGCUUGUAGGCGGUUCGUCGCGUCCGGUGUGAAAGUCCCUCGCUUAACGGUGGAUCCGGCCCGGGUACGGGCGGGCUUGAGAGCGGGAGGGGAGACUGGAAUGCCCGGUGUAACGGUGGAAUGUGUAGAUAUCGGGAAGAACACCAAUGGCGAAGGCAGGUCUCUGGGCCGUUACUGACGCUGAGGAGCGAAAGCGUGGGGAGCGAACAGGAUUAGAUACCCUAGUAGUC
Molecule: ribosomal RNA, 458 nt
Filed under: uncultured bacterium
Lineage: Bacteria
Description: partial 16S ribosomal RNA
Rfam family: Bacterial small subunit ribosomal RNA
Source: RNAcentral